UACCGGCGGCUCGAGUGGUGGCCGAUAUUAUUGAGUCUAAAGGGUCCGUAGCCGGCUUAGUUAGUCUUUUGGGAAAUCCAGCGGCUUAAUCGUUGGGCGUCCAUGAGAUACUGCUUUGCUUGGGACUGGGAGAGGUAGGAGGUACUCAAGGGGUAGGAGUGAAAUCCUGUAAUCCUUUGGGGACCACCGGUGGCGAAGGCGUCCUACCAGAACAGGUCCGACGGUGAGGGACGAAAGCUAGGGGCACGAA
RNAcentral lists this ribosomal RNA (250 nucleotides) under uncultured bacterium. RNAcentral describes it as "partial 16S ribosomal RNA". It matches the Rfam family "Archaeal small subunit ribosomal RNA", at positions 474 to 723 of the family's 1478-position model. The record is from RNAcentral.